UACGUAGGGGGCAAGCGUUGUCCGGAUUUAUUGGGCGUAAAGAGCGUGUAGGCGGUUUGGUAGGUCCGUUGUGAAAACUCGAGGCUCAACCUCGAGACGUCGGUUGAAACCAUCUGGCUAGAGUCCGGAAGAGGAGAGUGGAAUUCCCGGUGUAGCGGUGAAAUGCGCAGAUAUCGGGAAGAACACCCGUGGCGAAGGCGGCUCUCUGGGACGGUACUGACGCUGAGACGCGAAAGCGUGGGGAGCGAACAGG
RNAcentral lists this ribosomal RNA (253 nucleotides) under uncultured bacterium. RNAcentral's name for it is "partial 16S ribosomal RNA". It matches the Rfam family "Bacterial small subunit ribosomal RNA", at positions 524 to 776 of the family's 1533-position model. The record is from RNAcentral.